Small nucleolar RNA from Molossus molossus (Pallas's mastiff bat), 121 nucleotides. RefSeq annotates it as small nucleolar RNA SNORA32. NCBI's taxonomy places the organism in Eukaryota, Metazoa, Chordata, Mammalia, Chiroptera, Molossidae. The record is from RefSeq and is a predicted model, not a curated record. The transcript has a single exon.
UGGUCAUUGCCAAGCCUUUGAGAAGGCAGUUUCUCAUUUGCUGUGGACAUGACCAUGAAGUUUCAUCCCCAUAGGUCUUCUUUCUACUACAUUGGUAGCAUUCAGCCUAUUGGGAACGUUG